RNAcentral lists this transfer RNA (59 nucleotides) under Camelops cf. hesternus PDH-2015. RNAcentral describes it as "tRNA-Ser". Lineage: Eukaryota; Metazoa; Chordata; Mammalia; Artiodactyla; Camelidae. RNAcentral also lists the same sequence under 1 other name. The record is from RNAcentral.
GAAAAAGUAUGCAAGAACUGCUAACUCAUGCUACCAUACUUAACAGUAUGGCUUUUUCA